UACGGAGGGGACUAGCGUUGUUCGGAAUUACUGGGCGUAAAGCGCGCGUAGGCGGCCCGAUAAGUCCGCUGUGAAAGUCAACGGCUCAACUGUUGGAUGCCGGUGGAUACUGUCGGGCUAGAGUACGGAAGAGGCAAGUGGAAUUCCUGGUGUAGCGGUGGAAUGCGCAGAUAUCAGGAGGAACACCUAUAGCGAAGGCAGCUUGCUGGGACGUUACUGACGCUAAGGCGCGAAAGCGUGGGGAGCGAACAGG
Molecule: ribosomal RNA, 253 nt
Filed under: uncultured bacterium
Lineage: Bacteria
Description: partial 16S ribosomal RNA
Rfam family: Bacterial small subunit ribosomal RNA
Source: RNAcentral